CCAGAGCCGACAGCAGAAUGACGGUCAGCUUGAAGAGCUUACCUGACGCGCUGAGAGGAGCUGCAUGGCCGCCGUCAGCUCGUGCCGUGAGGUGUCCGGUUAAGUCCGGUAACGAGCGAGACCCGCACUCUAUGUUGCAACGGAUUCCUUCGGGAAUUCAGCACUCGUAGAGGACCGCUGGUGAUAAACCAGGGGAAGGAGCGGGCCACGGUAGGUCAGUAUGGCCCGAAUGCUCUGGGAUACACGCGGCCCACAAUGGCUGGAACAAAGGGAUGCGACUCCGAAAGGAGAAGCUAACCCCCUAAAUCCAGUCCUAGUCCGGAUUGAGGACUGCAACUCGUCCUCAUGAAGGCGAAAUCGGUAGUAGUCGCUGGUCAUCAUCCAGCGGCGAAUAAGUCCCUGCUCCUUGUACACACCGCCUGUCAAGUCACCCGAGUCAGGUACAGACGAGGAUCCGACCUAGUCGGAGACAAGUCUGAGCUUGGCAAGGGGGGCUAAGUCAUAACAAGGUAGCCGUUGGGGAACCAGCGGCUG
RNAcentral lists this ribosomal RNA (534 nucleotides) under soda lake metagenome. Its description in RNAcentral is "bacterial SSU rRNA". It matches the Rfam family "Archaeal small subunit ribosomal RNA", at positions 930 to 1467 of the family's 1478-position model. The record is from RNAcentral.